GGUUUGUGGCUUAAUGGUAGAGCACUUGCCUAGCAUGUGUGUGACACUGGGUUCAAUUCUCAGCACCA
Molecule: transfer RNA, 68 nt
Filed under: Marmota monax (woodchuck)
Lineage: Eukaryota; Metazoa; Chordata; Mammalia; Rodentia; Sciuridae
Description: tRNA.Ala
Rfam family: tRNA (bases 5-65)
About the family: Transfer RNA (tRNA) molecules are approximately 80 nucleotides in length. Their secondary structure includes four short double-helical elements and three loops (D, anti-codon, and T loops). Further hydrogen bonds mediate the characteristic L-shaped molecular structure. tRNAs have two regions of fundamental functional importance: the anti-codon, which is responsible for specific mRNA codon recognition, and the 3' end, to which the tRNAs corresponding amino acid is attached (by aminoacyl-tRNA synthetases). tRNAs cope with the degeneracy of the genetic code in two manners: having more than one tRNA (with a specific anti-codon) for a particular amino acid; and 'wobble' base-pairing, i.e. permitting non-standard base-pairing at the 3rd anti-codon position.
Source: RNAcentral